RNAcentral lists this ribosomal RNA (472 nucleotides) under uncultured bacterium. RNAcentral describes it as "bacterial SSU rRNA". It matches the Rfam family "Bacterial small subunit ribosomal RNA", at positions 335 to 800 of the family's 1533-position model. The record is from RNAcentral.
ACUCCUACGGGAGGCAGCAGUGGGGAAUAUUGCACAAUGGGGGAAACCCUGAUGCAGCCAUGCCGCGUGUGUGAAGAAGGCCUUCGGGUUGUAAAGCACUUUCAGUAGGGAGGAAGGUAGUGUAGUUAACACCUGCAUUAUUUGACGUUACCUACAGAAGAAGCACCGGCUAACUCCGUGCCAGCAGCCGCGGUAAUACGGAGGGUGCGAGCGUUAAUCGGAAUUACUGGGCGUAAAGCGCAUGCAGGCGGCCUGUUAAGUCAGAUGUGAAAGCCCGGGGCUUAACCUCGGAAUUGCAUUUGAAACUGGCAGGCUAGAGUCUUGUAGAGGGGGGUAGAAUUUCAGGUGUAGCGGUGAAAUGCGUAGAGAUCUGAAGGAAUACCAGUGGCGAAGGCGGCCCCCUGGACAAAGACUGACGCUCAGAUGCGAAAGCGUGGGGAGCAAACAGGAUUAGAUACCCUGGUAGGAUAGC